CCCUUAGAUGUUCUGGGCCGCACGCGCGCUACACUGUUCGACGCAGCGAGUCUUAACCUUGACCGAAAGGUUUGGGUAAUCUUCAGCAAAGUCGAACGUGAUGGGGAUCGAUCAUUGCAAUUAUUGAUCGUGAACGAGGAAUUCCUAGUAAGUGCAAGUCAUCAGCUUGCGCUGAUUACGUCCCUGCCCUUUGUACACACCGCUCGUCGCUACUACCGAUUGAAUGGUUUAGUGAGAUCUCUGGAUUGACGCUGGCUAGGGGGCGACCCUUGGCCAGACUGUUGAGAAACUGCUCAAACUUGAUCAUUUAGAGGAAGUAAAAGUCGUAACA
Molecule: ribosomal RNA, 331 nt
Filed under: uncultured eukaryote
Lineage: Eukaryota
Description: partial 18S ribosomal RNA
Rfam family: Eukaryotic small subunit ribosomal RNA
Source: RNAcentral